GAUGAACGCUGGCGGCGUGCCUAAUACAUGCAAGUCGAGCGAACGGACGAGAAGCUUGCUUCUCUGAUGUUAGCGGCGGACGGGUGAGUAACACGUGGAUAACCUACCUAUAAGACUGGGAUAACUUCGGGAAACCGGAGCUAAUACCGGAUGAUAUUUUGAACCGCAUGGUUCAAAAGUGAAAGACGGUCUUGCUGUCACUUAUAGAUGGAUCCGCGCUGCAUUAGCUAGUUGGUAAGGUAACGGCUUACCAAGGCAACGAUGCAUAGCCGACCUGAGAGGGUGAUCGGCCACACUGGAACUGAGACACGGUCCAGACUCCUACGGGAGGCAGCAGUAGGGAAUCUUCCGCAAUGGGCGAAAGCCUGACGGAGCAACGCCGCGUGAGUGAUGAAGGUCUUCGGAUCGUNAAACUCUGUUAUUAGGGAAGAACAUAUGUGUAAGUAACUGUGCACAUCUUGACGGUACCUAAUCAGAAAGCCACGGCUAACUACGUGCCAGCAGCCGCGGUAAUACGUAGGUGGCAAGCGUUAUCCGGAAUUAUUGGGCGUAAAGCGCGCGUAGGCGGUUUUUUAAGUCUGAUGUGAAAGCCCACGGCUCAACCGUGGAGGGUCAUUGGAAACUGGAAAACUUGAGUGCAGAAGAGGAAAGUGGAAUUCCAUGUGUAGCGGUGAAAUGCGCAGAGAUAUGGAGGAACACCAGUGGCGAAGGCGACUUUCUGGUCUGUAACUGACGCUGAUGUGCGAAAGCGUGGGGAUCAAACAGGAUUAGAUACCCUGGUAGUCCACGCCGUAAACGAUGAGUGCUAAGUGUUAGGGGGUUUCCGCCCCUUAGUGCUGCAGCUAACGCAUUAAGCACUCCGCCUGGGGAGUACGACCGCAAGGUUGAAACUCAAAGGAAUUGACGGGGACCCGCACAAGCGGUGGAGCAUGUGGUUUAAUUCGAAGCAACGCGAAGAACCUUACCAAAUCUUGACAUCCUUUGACAACUCUAGAGAUAGAGCUUUCCCCUUCGGGGGACAAAGUGACAGGUGGUGCAUGGUUGUCGUCAGCUCGUGUCGUGAGAUGUUGGGUUAAGUCCCGCAACGAGCGCAACCCUUAAGCUUAGUUGCCAUCAUUAAGUUGGGCACUCUAAGUUGACUGCCGGUGACAAACCGGAGGAAGGUGGGGAUGACGUCAAAUCAUCAUGCCCCUUAUGAUUUGGGCUACACACGUGCUACAAUGGACAAUACAAAGGGCAGCGAAACCGCGAGGUCAAGCAAAUCCCAUAAAGUUGUUCUCAGUUCGGAUUGUAGUCUGCAACUCGACUACAUGAAGCUGGAAUCGCUAGUAAUCGUAGAUCAGCAUGCUACGGUGAAUACGUUCCCGGGUCU
RNAcentral lists this ribosomal RNA (1372 nucleotides) under uncultured bacterium. RNAcentral describes it as "bacterial SSU rRNA". It matches the Rfam family "Bacterial small subunit ribosomal RNA", at positions 28 to 1381 of the family's 1533-position model. The record is from RNAcentral.